CGUGGGGAGCAAACAGGUUAGAUACCCUGGUAGUACACGCGUAAACGAUGAUAACUAGCUGCUGGGGCGCACGGCGCUUCGGUGGCGCAGCUAACGCAUUAUGUUAUCCGCCUGGGGAGUACGGUCGCGAGAUUAUAACUCAAAGGAAUUGACGGGGGCGUGCACACGCGGUGGAGCAUGUGGUUUAAUUCGAAGCAACGCGCAGAACAUUACCAACGUUUGACAUCCAUAGUAUGGUUAGUGGAGACACUUUCAUUCAGUUCGGCUGGCUAGGUGACAGGUGCUGCAUGGCUGUCGUCAGCUCGUGUCGUGAGAUGUUGGGUUAAGUCCCGCAACGAGCGCAACCCUCGCCUUUAGUUGCCAUCAUUUAGUUGGGCACUCUAAAGGAACCGCCGGUGAUAAGCCGGAGGAAGGUGGGGAUGACGUCAAGUCCUCAUGGCCCUUACGCGUUGGGCUACACACGUGCUACAAUGGCGAGUACAGUGGGCAGCGACCGUGCGAGCGGAAGCUAAUUUCCAAAAGUCGUCUCAGUUCGGAUCGUUCUGUGCAACUCGAGAGCGCGAAGGCGGAAUCGCUAGUAAUCGCGGAUCAGCAUGCCGCGGUGAAUACGUUCCCAGGCCUUGUACACACCGCCCGUCACACCAUGGGAGUUGGAUUCACUCGAAGGCGUUGAGCUAACCGCAAGGAGGCAGGCGACCACUGUGGGUUUAGCGACUGGGGUGAAGUCGUAACAAGGUAGCCGUAGGGGAACCUGCGGCUGGAUCACCUCCUU
RNAcentral lists this ribosomal RNA (772 nucleotides) under uncultured bacterium. RNAcentral's name for it is "bacterial SSU rRNA". It matches the Rfam family "Bacterial small subunit ribosomal RNA", at positions 760 to 1532 of the family's 1533-position model. The record is from RNAcentral.